UACGUAGGGUGCAAGCGUCAAUCGGAAUUACUGGGCGUAAAGCGUGCGCAGGCGGUGAUGUAAGACAGAUGUGAAAUCCCCGGGCUCAACCUGGGAACUGCAUUUGUGACUGCAUCGCUGGAGUGCGGCAGAGGGGGAUGGAAUUCCGCGUGUAGCAGUGAAAUGCGUGGAUAUGCGGAGGAACACCGAUGGCGAAGGCAAUCCCCUGGGCCUGCACUGACGCUCAUGCACGAAAGCGUGGGGAGCAAACAGG
RNAcentral lists this ribosomal RNA (253 nucleotides) under uncultured bacterium. Its description in RNAcentral is "partial 16S ribosomal RNA". It matches the Rfam family "Bacterial small subunit ribosomal RNA", at positions 524 to 776 of the family's 1533-position model. The record is from RNAcentral.